RNAcentral lists this ribosomal RNA (1342 nucleotides) under uncultured bacterium. Its description in RNAcentral is "16S ribosomal RNA". It matches the Rfam family "Bacterial small subunit ribosomal RNA", at positions 28 to 1378 of the family's 1533-position model. The record is from RNAcentral.
GACGAACGCUGUCGGCGUGCUUAACACAUGCAAGUCGAACGGAAAGGCCCUGCUUUUGUGGGGUGCUCGAGUGGCGAACGGGUGAGUAACACGUGAGUAACCUGCCCUUGACUUUGGGAUAACUUCAGGAAACUGGGGCUAAUACCGGAUAGGAGCUCCUGCUGCAUGGUGGGGGUUGGAAAGUUUCGGCGGUUGGGGAUGGACUCGCGGCUUAUCAGCUUGUUGGUGGGGUAGUGGCUUACCAAGGCUUUGACGGGUAGCCGGCCUGAGAGGGUGACCGGCCACAUUGGGACUGAGAUACGGCCCAGACUCCUACGGGAGGCAGCAGUGGGGAAUAUUGCACAAUGGGCGGAAGCCUGAUGCAGCAACGCCGCGUGCGGGAUGACGGCCUUCGGGUUGUAAACCGCUUUCGCCUGUGACGAAGCGUGAGUGACGGUAAUGGGUAAAGAAGCACCGGCUAACUACGUGCCAGCAGCCGCGGUGAUACGUAGGGUGCGAGCGUUGUCCGGAUUUAUUGGGCGUAAAGGGCUCGUAGGUGGUUGAUCGCGUCGGAAGUGUAAUCUUGGGGCUUAACCCUGAGCGUGCUUUCGAUACGGGUUGACUUGAGGAAGGUAGGGGAGAAUGGAAUUCCUGGUGGAGCGGUGGAAUGCGCAGAUAUCAGGAGGAACACCAGUGGCGAAGGCGGUUCUCUGGGCCUUUCCUGACGCUGAGGAGCGAAAGCGUGGGGAGCGAACAGGCUUAGAUACCCUGUAGUCCACGCUGUAAACGGUGGGUACUAGGUGUGGGGUCCAUUCCACGGGUUCCGUGCCGUAGCUAACGCUUUAAGUACCCCGCCUGGGGAGUACGGCCGCAAGGCUAAAACUCAAAGGAAUUGACGGGGCCCCGCACAAGCGGCGGAGCAUGCGGAUUAAUUCGAUGCAACGCGUAGAACCUUACCUGGGUUUGACAUGGAUCGGGAGUGCUCAGAGAUGGGUGUGCCUCUUUUGGGGUCGGUUCACAGGUGGUGCAUGGCUGUCGUCAGCUCGUGUCGUGAGAUGUUGGGUUAAGUCCCGCAACGAGCGCAACCCUUGUUCACUGUUGCCAGCACGUUAUGGUGGGGACUCAGUGGAGACCGCCGGGGUCAACUCGGAGGAAGGUGGGGAUGACGUCAAGUCAUCAUGCCCCUUAUGUCCAGGGCUUCACGCAUGCUACAAUGGCUGGUACAGAGAGUGGCGAGCCUGUGAGGGUGAGCGAAUCUCGGAAAGCCGGUCUCAGUUCGGAUUGGGGUCUGCAACUCGACCUCAUGAAGUCGGAGUCGCUAGUAAUCGCAGAUCAGCAACGCUGCGGUGAAUACGUUCCCGGG